This 485-nucleotide ribosomal RNA is filed under the name uncultured soil bacterium. RNAcentral describes it as "bacterial SSU rRNA". It matches the Rfam family "Bacterial small subunit ribosomal RNA", at positions 26 to 506 of the family's 1533-position model. The record is from RNAcentral.
AGGACGAACGCUGGCGGCGUGCCUAACACAUGCAAGUGGAGCGACGAACCGGGGCUUGCCCCGGGGCAGAGCCGCGAACGGGUGAGUAACACGUGGGUGACCUACCCCGAUGACUGGGACAACCCGUCGAAAGACGGGCUAAUACCGGAUGUGCCCCUUGGGGGAAAGGAAGCUUCGGCCUCCGCAUCGGGAUGGGCCCGCGGCGCAUUAGCUUGUUGGUGGGGUAAUGGCUUACCAAGGCGACGAUGCGUAGCUGGUCUGAGAGGACGAUCAGCCACACUGGGACUGAGACACGGCCCAGACUCCUACGGGAGGCAGCAGUGGGGAAUCUUGCACAAUGCGCGAAAGCGUGAUGCAGCAACGCCGCGUGGACGGAAGGAAGGUCCGUUAAGGGUUACGUAAACCGCUUUACAGUUGGGACGAAGCUUCGAGUCGUUAAUAGUCGGUUGGAGUGACGGUACUACAGAAGAGCGCCGCUAACACGU